AGGUGGGGACGACGUCAAGUCAUCAUGGCCCUUACGAGUAGGGCUACACACGUGCUACAAUGGCGCAUACAGAGGGCGGCCAACUUGCGAAAGUGAGCGAAUCCCAAAAAGUGCGUCGUAGUCCGGAUUGGAGUCUGCAACUCGACUCCAUGAAGUCGGAAUCGCUAGUAAUCGUGGAUCAGAAUGCCACGGUGAAUACGUUCCCGGGCCUUGUACACACCGCCCGUCACACCAUGGGAGUGGGCUGCAAAAGAAGUAGGUAGUUUAACCUUCGGGGGGACGCUUACCACUUUGUGGUUCAUGACUGGGGUGAAGUCGUAACAAGGUAGCGCUAGGGGAACCUGGCGCUGGAUCACCUCCUUAAACGAUGAU
Molecule: ribosomal RNA, 372 nt
Filed under: Vibrio parahaemolyticus
Lineage: Bacteria; Pseudomonadati; Pseudomonadota; Gammaproteobacteria; Vibrionales; Vibrionaceae
Description: bacterial SSU rRNA
Rfam family: Bacterial small subunit ribosomal RNA
Source: RNAcentral